GAUGAACGCUGGCGGCGUGCCUAAUACAUGCAAGUCGAGCGAACAGACGAGGAGCUUGCUCCUCUGACGUUAGCGGCGGACGGGUGAGUAACACGUGGAUAACCUACCUAUAAGACUGGGAUAACUUCGGGAAACCGGAGCUAAUACCGGAUAACAUGUUGAACCGCAUGGUUCAACAGUGAAAGACGGUCUUGCUGUCACUUAUAGAUGGAUCCGCGCCGCAUUAGCUAGUUGGUAAGGUAACGGCUUACCAAGGCAACGAUGCGUAGCCGACCUGAGAGGGGGAUCGGCACCACGGGAACUGGGACACGGCCCAGACUCCUAGGGGAGGCAGGAGUAGGGAAUCUUCCGCAAGGGGGGAAAGCCUGACGGAGCAACGCCGGGGGGGUGAAGAAGGUCUUCGGAUCGUAAAACUCUGUUAUUAGGGAAAAAAAAAUGUGUAAGUAACUAUGCACGUUUGGACGGAACCAAAGAAGAAAGCCACGGCUAACUACGU
This 496-nucleotide ribosomal RNA is filed under the name uncultured bacterium. RNAcentral describes it as "partial 16S ribosomal RNA". It matches the Rfam family "Bacterial small subunit ribosomal RNA", at positions 28 to 506 of the family's 1533-position model. The record is from RNAcentral.